AGCUUUGCGCAGCGACGGUAUCGUAGCCAAUGAGGUUUAUCCAAGGCACGAUUAUUGCUCAUUGAAAGCAUGUGCCUCUGUGUACUGCAUAUAUAAGUACAGUUGCACCAUUUCUCAUCUUAUACUAUCAGUUGACUAAUUUA
This is a small nuclear RNA of Onychomys torridus (southern grasshopper mouse), 143 nucleotides long. RefSeq annotates it as U4 spliceosomal RNA. The transcript has a single exon. NCBI's taxonomy places the organism in Eukaryota, Metazoa, Chordata, Mammalia, Rodentia, Cricetidae. The record is from RefSeq and is a predicted model, not a curated record.